CCUACGGGUGGCUGCAGUGGGGAAUAUUGGACAAUGGGCGAAAGCCUGAUCCAGCCAUGCCGCGUGUGUGAAGAAGGCCUUCGGGUUGUAAAGCACUUUCAGUGGGGAAGAAAGCCUUGGGGCUAAUACCCUCGAGGAAGGACAUCACCCACAGAAGAAGCACCGGCUAACUCCGUGCCAGCAGCCGCGGUAAUACGGAGGGUGCGAGCGUUAAUCGGAAUUACUGGGCGUAAAGCGCGCGUAGGCGGUCUGAUAAGCCGGUUGUGAAAGCCCCGGGCUCAACCUGGGAACGGCAUCCAGAACUGUCAGGCUAGAGUGCAGGAGAGGAAGGUAGAAUUCCCGGUGUAGCGGUGAAAUGCGUAGAGAUCGGGAGGAAUACCAGUGGCGAAGGCGGCCUUCUGGACUGACACUGACGCUGAGGUGCGAAAGCGUGGGUAGCAAACAGGAUUAGAUACCCGGGUAGUC
Molecule: ribosomal RNA, 465 nt
Filed under: Vreelandella stevensii
Lineage: Bacteria; Pseudomonadati; Pseudomonadota; Gammaproteobacteria; Oceanospirillales; Halomonadaceae
Description: partial 16S ribosomal RNA
Rfam family: Bacterial small subunit ribosomal RNA
Source: RNAcentral